CCUACGGGUGGCUGCAGUCGAGAAUCAUUCACAAUGGGGGAAACCCUGAUGGUGCGACGCCGCGUGGGGGAAUGCAGGUCUUCGGAUUGUAAACCCCUGUCAUGUGGGAGCAAAUUAAAAAGAUAGUACCACAAGAGGAAGAGACGGCUAACUCGGUGCCAGCAGCCGCGGUAAUACAGAGGGCUCAAGCGUUGUUGGGAAUCACUGGGCGUAAGGCGUGCGUAGGCUGUGUCGUAAGUCGUGUGUGAAAGGCGCGGGCUCAACCCGCGGACGGCACAUGAUACUGGGAGACUAGAGUAAUGGAGGGGGAACCGGAAUUCUCGGUGGAGCAGUGAAAUGCGUAGAUAUCGAGAGGAACACUCGUGGCGAAGGCGGGUUCCUGGACAUUAACUGACGCUGAGGCACGAAGGCCAGGGGAGCGAAAGGGAUUAGAUACCCGAGUAGUC
This 446-nucleotide ribosomal RNA is filed under the name uncultured bacterium. RNAcentral describes it as "partial 16S ribosomal RNA". It matches the Rfam family "Bacterial small subunit ribosomal RNA", at positions 338 to 795 of the family's 1533-position model. The record is from RNAcentral.